AUCUCCUUAAUGACGUCUUUACUAGCUUCGGAUUCAAUUCACCAAUCAAAUCUAAUUCUGUGUGUGUCAGUCCUUCCACCUCAUGCACUUCAUCAAGUUUAAUUUUACAGGCAUUAGCUCCUUCACCAAAGAACUCCUUUUUCAAAAAGACUGUCCGACUGCUGACAAACACCUUUUGCUCUGUAAUGAAGUAGAAGUAGUACCCUUUAGUUUUCUUUGGGUAUCCUACAAAAAAGUAUUUAUCAGACUUCGAUCCAAGCUUAUCUGUCUUUAGAUGCUUGAUAUAAGCUGGACACCUCCAGACCCUAAGG
Molecule: long non-coding RNA, 311 nt
Filed under: Elaeis guineensis (African oil palm)
Lineage: Eukaryota; Viridiplantae; Streptophyta; Magnoliopsida; Arecales; Arecaceae
Description: long non-coding RNA (EGUI_LNC070841)
Source: RNAcentral